CCGGACGGUGGCCAUGGAAGUCGGAAUCCGCUAAGGAGUGUGUAACAACUCACCGGCGGAGUAACUAUGACUCUCGCCUCGUCAUCUAAUUAAGUCAAGCGUUCAUAGCGACAUUGAUUGUUCACCCACUGAACUUAGUACGAGAGGAACAGUUC
This 155-nucleotide ribosomal RNA is filed under the name Saccharomyces cerevisiae (brewer's yeast). RNAcentral describes it as "18S Ribosomal RNA from Saccharomyces cerevisiae (PDB 3J16, chain K)". The stretch from base 1 to 64 matches the Rfam family "Eukaryotic large subunit ribosomal RNA", at positions 1241 to 1304 of the family's 3401-position model. The record is from RNAcentral. Lineage: Eukaryota; Fungi; Ascomycota; Saccharomycetes; Saccharomycetales; Saccharomycetaceae.